UCCUCUGGUCUAAAGCUUACCGACAGCACUUAAGCACAUGAUAAUUUCUAGAUUCAUUUGAGGGACCUUGCAAAGCAUUUAUACCGAUCUUGUCGCGACUGCGAAGCACAAAGAGCGAUAGCACGUAUCAUCAACCUUCCAUAGUCCCAAGCACAGGCAUGAAUGUAUCUUCGGAAGCUUUCCAAGAUACUUCUACGUUCACACGUGUAGAAAAUAUCUGCAUCCUGUCCUCUCACACACCGAAACUUUUGGAGGUUUCUCCGUUUUAAUUCUGUUCCUUAGCACAAACGAUCACGACAGCGUGGAGGCUGCCAGAGUCUCCCAGACUUUCCCGGUGCUCCUCUACUUGAACUAAUCGAUUGAAUGGAGCAUU
This 373-nucleotide long non-coding RNA is filed under the name Coccomyxa subellipsoidea. RNAcentral's name for it is "long non-coding RNA (CSUB_LNC000201)". The record is from RNAcentral. Lineage: Eukaryota; Viridiplantae; Chlorophyta; Trebouxiophyceae; Coccomyxaceae.